This 372-nucleotide ribosomal RNA is filed under the name uncultured organism. RNAcentral's name for it is "bacterial SSU rRNA". It matches the Rfam family "Bacterial small subunit ribosomal RNA", at positions 526 to 896 of the family's 1533-position model. The record is from RNAcentral.
CAGAGGGGGCAAGCGUUGUUCGGAAUUACUGGGCGUAAAGGGCGCGUAGGUGGCCUGUUAAGUCGAACGUGAAAUCCCUGGGCUCAACCCAGGAACUGCGUCCGAUACUGGCAGGCUUGAAUCCGGGAGAGGGAUGCGGAAUUCCAGGUGUAGCGGUGAAAUGCGUAGAUAUCUGGAGGAACACCGGUGGCGAAGGCGGCAUCCUGGACCGGCAUUGACGCUGAGGCGCGAAAGCCAGGGGAGCAAACGGGAUUAGAUACCCCGGUAGUCCUGGCCCUAAACGAUGAAUGCUUGGUGUGGCGGGUAUCGAUCCCUGCCGUGCCGAAGCUAACGCAUUAAGCAUUCCGCCUGGGGAGUACGGUCGCAAGGCUG